CUAUUAUGGAGAGUUUGAUCCUGGCUCAGGACGAACGCUGGCGGCGUGCCUAAUACAUGCAAGUCGAGCGAAUGAUGAAGAAGCUUGCUUCUUCUGAUUUAGCGGCGGACGGGUGAGUAACACGUGGGCAACCUGCCCUGUAGAUUGGGAUAACUCCGGGAAACCGGGGCUAAUACCGAAUAAUCCAUUUUCUCACAUGAGGAAAUGUUAAAAGACGGCAUCUCGCUGUCACUACAGGAUGGGCCCGCGGCGCAUUAGCUAGUUGGUGGGGUAAUGGCUCACCAAGGCGACGAUGCGUAGCCGACCUGAGAGGGUGAUC
RNAcentral lists this ribosomal RNA (319 nucleotides) under Psychrobacillus sp. OK032. RNAcentral describes it as "bacterial SSU rRNA". It matches the Rfam family "Bacterial small subunit ribosomal RNA", at positions 1 to 305 of the family's 1533-position model. Lineage: Bacteria; Bacillati; Bacillota; Bacilli; Caryophanales; Bacillaceae. The record is from RNAcentral.